Molecule: ribosomal RNA, 393 nt
Filed under: uncultured bacterium
Lineage: Bacteria
Description: partial 16S ribosomal RNA
Rfam family: Bacterial small subunit ribosomal RNA
Source: RNAcentral
AUACGGAGGAUGCGAGCGUUAUCCGGAUUUAUUGGGUUUAAAGGGUGCGCAGGCGGGCGAUUAAGUCAGCGGUGAAAGGCUCGGGCUCAACCGGAGCAGUGCCAUUGAUACUGGCGUGCUAGAGUACGGACGGCGCCGGCGGAAUGUGUCAUGUAGCGGUGAAAUGCUUAGAUAUGCCACAGAACACCGAUCGCGAAGGCAGCUGGCGAGGCCGGUACUGACGCUCAGGCACGAAAGCGUGGGGAUCAAACAGGAUUAGAUACCCUGGUAGUCCACGCAGUAAACGAUGAUAACUUGUUGUCGGCGAUAGAGUGUCGGUGACAAAGCGAAAGCGAUAAGUUAUCCACCUGGGGAGUACGAUCGCAAGGUUGAAACUCAAAUGAAUUGACGGGG